This 555-nucleotide ribosomal RNA is filed under the name uncultured Diversispora. RNAcentral's name for it is "SSU rRNA". It matches the Rfam family "Eukaryotic small subunit ribosomal RNA", at positions 539 to 1098 of the family's 1831-position model. Lineage: Eukaryota; Fungi; Glomeromycota; Glomeromycetes; Diversisporales; Diversisporaceae. The record is from RNAcentral.
UUCGCCCUUGGGCAAGUCUGGUGCCAGCAGCCGCGGUAAUUCCAGCUCCAAUAGCGUAUAUUAAAGUUGUUGCAGUUAAAAAGCUCGUAGUUGAACUUCGGGGUCUACCCAUUGGUCAGGCUUAAUUGUCUGUACUGGUGAGAUGGAUCUCUACCUUCUGAGGAACUUUCAUGCCAUUUAUUUGGUGUGAUGGGAAAUCAGGACUGUUACUUUGAAAAAAUUAGAGUGUUUAAAGCAGACUAUCGUCUGAAUACAUUAGCAUGGAAUAAUGAAAUAGGACGGACUGAUUCUAUUUCGUUGGUUUCUAGGAUCACCGUAAUGAUUAAUAGGGAUAGUUGGGGGCAUUAGUAUUCAAUUGUCAGAGGUGAAAUUCUUGGAUUUAUUGAAGACUAACUACUGCGAAAGCAUUUGCCAAGGAUGUUUUCAUUAAUCAAGAACGAAAGUUAGGGGAUCGAAGACGAUCAGAUACCGUCGUAGUCUUAACCAUAAACUAUGCCGACUAGGGAUCGGACGAAGUUAAUUUUAUAAUGACGCGUUCGGCGCCUUACGGGAAAC